Molecule: ribosomal RNA, 252 nt
Filed under: uncultured bacterium
Lineage: Bacteria
Description: partial 16S ribosomal RNA
Rfam family: Bacterial small subunit ribosomal RNA
Source: RNAcentral
UACGGAGGAUGCGAGCGUUAUCCGGAUUUAUUGGGUUUAAAGGGUGCGCAGGCGGACCGUCAAGUCAGCGGUAAAAUGUCGGGGCUCAACCCCGGCCGGCCGUUGAAACUGGCGGACUUGAGUUGGAGAGAAGUAUGCGGAAUUCGUGGUGUAGCGGUGAAAUGCAUAGAUAUCACGAAGAACUCCGAUUGCGAAGGCAGCAUACCGGCUCCACACUGACGCUGAGGCACGAAAGCGUGGGGAUCGAACAGG